Long non-coding RNA from Xiphophorus couchianus (Monterrey platyfish), 2476 nucleotides. RefSeq lists it as uncharacterized. Lineage: Eukaryota; Metazoa; Chordata; Actinopteri; Cyprinodontiformes; Poeciliidae. The record is from RefSeq and is a predicted model, not a curated record. The transcript is spliced from 6 exons.
GGGGAACAGGUUGCUCAAAGAACCUCCAGGUAAACACAGAAACAAACAUGAUUUUCUACGGAUUGUGGGUCCUGGUACAAAACGUUCCUCGUGUCUCAGCUGUAAGUUGUUCACCAUAUUUUGUUAAAUAAAAAUUAAUAAAACGUCUGUAAAGCAGGAAAGUUUCAGCCUGUCAUCUGACUGAAUGUUAAAAACUUUCUGCGCUGCGUCCACAGGCUUGGAAUAGGCCGGUUGUGCGUGUUGUGUUGUUUUGCAGAGAAUGGAUGGCUUGUUUUUGGUGACAGCGUGGAGCGAGUUGUCAGACUGUUGCCAUGGCGACAGGCGGACAUGAUGAGUCUGGGUCAAAGCUCUCCAGACAGCAGUGCUCUGGUUUUCAGCUGUCUGGAACAGCGCCGCCUGCUGACCAAGGUAACUCGUUACAGUCAGCAGACCCUGGUGGUUUUCUGCUUCAUGAACUGUAAGAAGUUGUCAUCAUCAAAGGGAAUAAUGUGAUGUUUUGCUCCCCCUGCUGGACACCGUGAGAACCUGCAGCUGCGCAUCACAGAACAACAACAUCUGUAUGGAUGAGUCAACAGGAGAAAACUGAAAACCACUGGAUUAUUAAAUUAACAAGCAGAUUUACAGAGAGCUGAACUAACCUGUUUGAAACUCCUGAAGGUGGAAAAAAGUCUCGGCUGGUUGAGUGCAGAGCAGCGACGUCCAGACUUAAAUCCAAGCUGCAGAUGUUUCCAGAUGUUUCCAGGUGAUCCAGCUGCCGCGAUGUGGCGAAGGUGUGAGACGACCAGAGAGACGCCGCACAGCUGGAGACCAUCAUGCAGAGAAACGGGACACUGCAUGUGAGUGAGCCGCUGCAGCUCAUCCUACAGCCGGUUCUGUUCUGCUCCCCCAAGUUUCCAGGACUGAAACCAAACUGGAACAUGAAGGUUUUAUCUGAUUCAAACCAGCAACAAAACGGCCUGAUGAUGGACUUAUCAUCAAACAUCUGGAUCCUCGUGUCUCUUCAUGAGACGCCGGAAUAAAAAUCCGUCCUGGUCUUAAUUUUCCCCUCUGCGCUCGUUAUUCGUGUUGCAUUGCGGAUCAUCUUCUUUCUCCAGAGAACGGUUGGUUUUUCUCCUGCGUGUGUCGGGCCGGCCGGCCUGCAGACGUCUGAACUCUUCAGUGACAGCAGGAAUGAACGUGGGGCCAGGAGGCCGACGAGGGGAAACCAGAAUGAAACGAAACAAUUAGCAUGAGGCUAACUUCACAUUUAGCUCCAUCAUUUAAAGCAAGAAAAUUUACCGAUUUAUAUUUACCCUUGAUGCAAAUUAAAGUGAUUCUGUUGUACUUAUUUCUGGUUUUGAAGGUAAUUAUGGGAUUUCUCUUUUUUAAAACUGCAGAAACUGAAAAAGUUUUUCAUAUAUUUGUCCAAACUGUCACCAUGGUAACAUGGUAACAUGGUUUAUGAGACAGAUGAUCUGUGAAAAGAUCAACCUCCUCCCUGAGUUACUGCUGCUGUCUGACAAAAUGCACCAAAAACAACCAAUCAGAGCCAGGGGGCGGGGCUUAGCACAGUCAGUCAACCUCAUGUACUCGCUGCUAAAUGUGCUAAUGGCAGAGAAAUGACUUAAAGUUACAGGAAAACUGUUUAUCCACCGGUUAAAUGAUGAUAAAGUUAACUAUGCUAACUAGCUAACACUAGUUAGCAUAGUUAACUGUGCAUAAUUAAGUCCCUCCCACCUACAGAGAAUGACUGUUAACUUACUGCAGGUGGAAGUUAACAAUUAUUUAACUAUGCUAACUAGCUAUUACAUUUAGCUCGUUAGCAUACUAACUCUGCUGGCAUAGUUAGUGGCUAUGCUAACUAGCCUUAGCAUUCAUGACAGGCUGUGCUAGCUGUAGCCAAGCAGGAGAGUGCAAGACGGAUGAGUAGCGUCACAUGGAAUGUGAUUAACAGUGCUAAGUCCCGCCUCCUGCCUUUGAUUGGCUGAUUGGUUGUUUCUGAUUAGCACUGGGAGGAAACUUUCUUCUUCUGUUUUUUUCACAGAUUAUCUGCCUCAGAGCUUCAACAAAUAUAUAAAACAAUAUUUCUUAAGGUCACAUGGCUGCUAACAGUGCUAAUGCUAACGGUCGCCACUUUGACAGAAUGAGAGUUGAAUAUUAAUUUCCGCUCUGUGUGUUUUUUCACUCUCCAGUCGUUUUGAUGCUUUCCUGUUUCCUGAUCCCAGCCUACCUGUUUAACCAAAGCCACAGGAAACCAUCUGAAACACAAACUGUUUCUAAAAUGCGUCAGCCAAGAGAUUUAGAAAGCAGGUAAAUGCGACAGCAGACUGAACGACCCAAAAAGUCCGAUCUCCUCCACUUCCACUAAAUCAUAUCCGAUAGUUUUCAAAGUGUCGUGUUUAUGCAACUUUUCCGUCAUUGAUGUGAGACAUGCAUCAUAAUUCAGCAGCAGAAAAAGCGAGACAGUAAAUCUGGACGUAAACAAUGUCUGAAAAUG